RNAcentral lists this ribosomal RNA (402 nucleotides) under Bacteroidota bacterium. RNAcentral describes it as "Bacteroidetes bacterium partial 16S ribosomal RNA". It matches the Rfam family "Bacterial small subunit ribosomal RNA", at positions 355 to 776 of the family's 1533-position model. Lineage: Bacteria; Pseudomonadati; Bacteroidota. The record is from RNAcentral.
UGGGGAAUUUUGCACAAUGGGGGAAACCCUGAUGCAGCGACGCCGCGUGAUUUAGAAGGCCUUCGGGUUGUAAAAAUCUUUUUUACGGGAUGAAAAUGACAGUACCGUAAGAAUAAGGUCCGGCUAAUUACGUGCCAGCAGCCGCGGUAAUACGUAAGGUCCGAGCGUUGUCCGGAAUCAUUGGGCGUAAAGGGUACGUAGGCGAGUAAGCAAGUUAGAAGUGAAAUCCUAUAGCUCAACUAUAGUAAGCUUUUAAAACUGCUCAUCUUGAGGUAUGGAAGGGAAAGUGGAAUUCCUAGUGUAGCGGUGAAAUGCGCAGAUAUUAGGAGGAAUACCGGUGGCGAAGGCGACUUUCUGGCCAUAACCUGACGCUGAGGUACGAAAGCGUGGGUAGCAAACAGG